CUCGUAGGUGGCCAACUAAGUCAGACGUGAAAUCCCUCGGCUUAACCGGGGAACUGCGUCUGAUACUGGAUGGCUUGAGUUUGGGAGAGGGACGCGGAAUUCCAGGUGUAGCGGUGAAAUGCGUAGAUAUCUGGAGGAACACCGGUGGCGAAGGCGGCGUCCUGGACCAACACUGACACUGAUGAGCGAAAGCCAAGGGGGAGCAAACGG
RNAcentral lists this ribosomal RNA (210 nucleotides) under uncultured bacterium. RNAcentral's name for it is "partial 16S ribosomal RNA". It matches the Rfam family "Bacterial small subunit ribosomal RNA", at positions 568 to 775 of the family's 1533-position model. The record is from RNAcentral.